AGUGAACGCUGGCGGUAGGCCUAACACAUGCAAGUCGAACGGCAGCACAGUAAGAGCUUGCUCUUACGGGUGGCGAGUGGCGGACGGGUGAGGAAUACAUCGGAAUCUACUUUUUCGUGGGGGAUAACGUAGGGAAACUUACGCUAAUACCGCAUACGACCUACGGGUGAAAGCAGGGGAUCUUCGGACCUUGCGCGAUUGAAUGAGCCGAUGUCGGAUUAGCUAGUUGGCGAGGUAAAGGCCCACCAAGGCGACGAUCCGUAGCUGGUCUGAGAGGAUGAUCAGCCACACUGGAACUGAGACACGGUCCAGACUCCUACGGGAGGCAGCAGUGGGGAAUAUUGGACAAUGGGCGCAAGCCUGAUCCAGCAAUACCGCGUGGGUGAAGAAGGCCUUCGGGUUGUAAAGCCCUUUUGUUGGGAAAGAAAAGCAGCAGGUUAAUACCCCGCUGUUCUGACGGUACCCAAAGAAUAAGCACCGGCUAACUUCGUG
RNAcentral lists this ribosomal RNA (492 nucleotides) under uncultured bacterium. RNAcentral's name for it is "partial 16S ribosomal RNA". It matches the Rfam family "Bacterial small subunit ribosomal RNA", at positions 29 to 507 of the family's 1533-position model. The record is from RNAcentral.